This 145-nucleotide unclassified non-coding RNA is filed under the name soil metagenome. RNAcentral's name for it is "partial internal transcribed spacer 1". The record is from RNAcentral.
UAAUAAGUGUUUUAUGGCACUUUUUAAAUCCAUAUCCACCUUGUGUGCAAUGUCAGUCAAUCUUCUUUAUGGAGAUCGACCAAACAUCAACCUUUAUCUUUUAACUCUUUGUCUGAAAAAUAUUAUGAAUAAACAAUUCAAAAUA